Molecule: ribosomal RNA, 2925 nt
Filed under: Salmonella enterica subsp. enterica serovar Enteritidis str. CDC_2010K_0968
Lineage: Bacteria; Pseudomonadati; Pseudomonadota; Gammaproteobacteria; Enterobacterales; Enterobacteriaceae
Description: 23S ribosomal RNA
Rfam family: Bacterial large subunit ribosomal RNA
Source: RNAcentral
GGGUUGUGAGGUUAAGCGACUAAGCGUACACGGUGGAUGCCCUGGCAGUCAGAGGCGAUGAAGGGCGUGCUAAUCUGCGAUAAGCGCCGGUAAGGUGAUAUGAACCGUUAUAACCGGCGAUACCCGAAUGGGGAAACCCAGUGUGACUCGUCACACUAUCAUUAACUGAAUCCAUAGGUUAAUGAGGCGAACCGGGGGAACUGAAACAUCUAAGUACCCCGAGGAAAAGAAAUCAACCGAGAUUCCCCCAGUAGCGGCGAGCGAACGGGGAGGAGCCCAGAGCCUGAAUCAGCAUGUGUGUUAGUGGAAGCGUCUGGAAAGGCGCGCGAUACAGGGUGACAGCCCCGUACACAAAAGCGCAUGUGCUGUGAGCUCGAUGAGUAGGGCGGGACACGUGGUAUCCUGUCUGAAUAUGGGGGGACCAUCCUCCAAGGCUAAAUACUCCUGACUGACCGAUAGUGAACCAGUACCGUGAGGGAAAGGCGAAAAGAACCCCGGCGAGGGGAGUGAAAAAGAACCUGAAACCGUGUACGUACAAGCAGUGGGAGCACCCUUUGGGUGUGACUGCGUACCUUUUGUAUAAUGGGUCAGCGACUUAUAUUCUGUAGCAAGGUUAACCGAAUAGGGGAGCCGGAGGGAAACCGAGUCUUAAUCGGGCGUUAAGUUGCAGGGUAUAGACCCGAAACCCGGUGAUCUAGCCAUGGGCAGGUUGAAGGUUGGGUAACACUAACUGGAGGACCGAACCGACUAAUGUUGAAAAAUUAGCGGAUGACCUGUGGCUGGGGGUGAAAGGCCAAUCAAACCGGGAGAUAGCUGGUUCUCCCCGAAAGCUAUUUAGGUAGCGCCUCGUGAAUUCAUCUCCGGGGGUAGAGCACUGUUUCGGCUAGGGGGCCAUCCCGGCUUACCAACCCGAUGCAAACUGCGAAUACCGGAGAAUGUUAUCACGGGAGACACACGGCGGGUGCUAACGUCCGUCGUGAAGAGGGAAACAACCCAGACCGCCAGCUAAGGUCCCAAAGUCAUGGUUAAGUGGGAAACGAUGUGGGAAGGCCCAGACAGCCAGGAUGUUGGCUUAGAAGCAGCCAUCAUUUAAAGAAAGCGUAAUAGCUCACUGGUCGAGUCGGCCUGCGCGGAAGAUGUAACGGGGCUAAACCAUGCACCGAAGCUGCGGCAGCGACACUGUGUGUUGUUGGGUAGGGGAGCGUUCUGUAAGCCUGUGAAGGUGUGUCGUGAGGCAUGCUGGAGGUAUCAGAAGUGCGAAUGCUGACAUAAGUAACGAUAAAGCGGGUGAAAAGCCCGCUCGCCGGAAGACCAAGGGUUCCUGUCCAACGUUAAUCGGGGCAGGGUGAGUCGACCCCUAAGGCGAGGCCGAAAGGCGUAGUCGAUGGGAAACGGGUUAAUAUUCCCGUACUUGGUGUUACUGCGAAGGGGGGACGGAGAAGGCUAUGUUGGCCGGGCGACGGUUGUCCCGGUUUAAGUGUGUAGGUGUGUGUUCCAGGUAAAUCCGGUUCACUUUAACACUGAGGCGUGACGACGAGGCACUACGGUGCUGAAGCAACAAAUGCCCUGCUUCCAGGAAAAGCCUCUAAGCAUCAGGUAACAUCAAAUCGUACCCCAAACCGACACAGGUGGUCAGGUAGAGAAUACCAAGGCGCUUGAGAGAACUCGGGUGAAGGAACUAGGCAAAAUGGUGCCGUAACUUCGGGAGAAGGCACGCUGACACGUAGGUGAAGUGAUUUACUCAUGGAGCUGAAGUCAGUCGAAGAUACCAGCUGGCUGCAACUGUUUAUUAAAAACACAGCACUGUGCAAACACGAAAGUGGACGUAUACGGUGUGACGCCUGCCCGGUGCCGGAAGGUUAAUUGAUGGGGUCAGCGCAAGCGAAGCUCCUGAUCGAAGCCCCGGUAAACGGCGGCCGUAACUAUAACGGUCCUAAGGUAGCGAAAUUCCUUGUCGGGUAAGUUCCGACCUGCACGAAUGGCGUAAUGAUGGCCAGGCUGUCUCCACCCGAGACUCAGUGAAAUUGAACUCGCUGUGAAGAUGCAGUGUACCCGCGGCAAGACGGAAAGACCCCGUGAACCUUUACUAUAGCUUGACACUGAACAUUGAGCCUUGAUGUGUAGGAUAGGUGGGAGGCUUUGAAGUGUGGACGCCAGUCUGCAUGGAGCCGACCUUGAAAUACCACCCUUUAAUGUUUGAUGUUCUAACGUGGACCCGUUACCCGGGUUGCGGACAGUGUCUGGUGGGUAGUUUGACUGGGGCGGUCUCCUCCUAAAGAGUAACGGAGGAGCACGAAGGUUGGCUAAUCCUGGUCGGACAUCAGGAGGUUAGUGCAAUGGCAUAAGCCAGCUUGACUGCGAGCGUGACGGCGCGAGCAGGUGCGAAAGCAGGUCAUAGUGAUCCGGUGGUUCUGAAUGGAAGGGCCAUCGCUCAACGGAUAAAAGGUACUCCGGGGAUAACAGGCUGAUACCGCCCAAGAGUUCAUAUCGACGGCGGUGUUUGGCACCUCGAUGUCGGCUCAUCACAUCCUGGGGCUGAAGUAGGUCCCAAGGGUAUGGCUGUUCGCCAUUUAAAGUGGUACGCGAGCUGGGUUUAGAACGUCGUGAGACAGUUCGGUCCCUAUCUGCCGUGGGCGCUGGAGAACUGAGGGGGGCUGCUCCUAGUACGAGAGGACCGGAGUGGACGCAUCACUGGUGUUCGGGUUGUCAUGCCAAUGGCACUGCCCGGUAGCUAAAUGCGGAAGAGAUAAGUGCUGAAAGCAUCUAAGCACGAAACUUGCCCCGAGAUGAGUUCUCCCUGAGACUUUAGGUCUCCUGAAGGAACGUUGAAGACGACGACGUUGAUAGGCCGGGUGUGUAAGCGCAGCGAUGCGUUGAGCUAACCGGUACUAAUGAACCGUGAGGCUUAACCUUACAACGCCGAAG